CCUACGGGAGGCAGCAGUAGGGAAUCUUCCACAAUGGGCGAAAGCCUGAUGGAGCAACGCCGCGUGGGUGAAGAAGGUCUUCGGAUCGUAAAACCCUGUUGUUAGAGAAGAAAGUGCGUGAGAGUAACUGUUCACGUUUCGACGGUAUCUAACCAGAAAGCCACGGCUAACUACGUGCCAGCAGCCGCGGUAAUACGUAGGUGGCAAGCGUUAUCCGGAUUUAUUGGGAGUAAAGGGAACGCAGGCGGUCUUUUAAGUCUGAUGGGAAAGCCUUCGGCUUAACCGGAGUAGUGCAUUGGAAACUGGGAGACUUGAGUGCAGAAGAGGAGAGUGGAACUCUAUGUGUAGCGGUGAAAUGCGUAGAUAUAUGGAAGAACCCCAGUGGCGAAAGCGGCUCUCUGGUCUGUAACUGACGCUGAGGUUCGAAAGCGUGGGUAGCAAACAGGAUUAGAUACCCCAGUAGUC
Molecule: ribosomal RNA, 465 nt
Filed under: uncultured bacterium
Lineage: Bacteria
Description: partial 16S ribosomal RNA
Rfam family: Bacterial small subunit ribosomal RNA
Source: RNAcentral